RNAcentral lists this unclassified non-coding RNA (332 nucleotides) under soil metagenome. Its description in RNAcentral is "partial contains 5.8S ribosomal RNA, internal transcribed spacer 2, and large subunit ribosomal RNA". The stretch from base 1 to 120 matches the Rfam family "5.8S ribosomal RNA", at positions 35 to 154 of the family's 154-position model. The record is from RNAcentral.
GAUGAAGAACGCAGUGAAAUGCGAUAAGUAGUGUGAAUUGCAGAAUUCAGUGAAUCAUCGAAUCUUUGAACGCACAUUGCGCCCUUUGGUAUUCCUUAGGGCAUGCCUGUUCGUGCGUCAUUUAAACCUUCAAGCUAAGCUUGGUGUUGGGUGACUGUCCGCUUCACGGCGGACUCGCCUCAAAAUUAUUGGCGGCCGGUACAUUGGCUUCGAGCGCAGCAGAAACGCGAACUCGGGCCCGUCGUAUUGGCUCCCAGAAGCUAUCUUCACAAUUUUGACCUCGGAUCAGGUAGGGAUACCCGCUGAACUUAAGCAUAUCAAUAAGCGGAGGA